This 253-nucleotide ribosomal RNA is filed under the name uncultured bacterium. RNAcentral's name for it is "partial 16S ribosomal RNA". It matches the Rfam family "Bacterial small subunit ribosomal RNA", at positions 524 to 776 of the family's 1533-position model. The record is from RNAcentral.
UACGUAGGGUGCGAGCGUUAAUCGGAAUUACUGGGCGUAAAGCGUGCGUAGGCGGUUCGUUAAGUUCGUUGUGAAAGCCCCGGGCUCAACCUGGGAAUGGCAAUGGAAACUGGCGGGCUGGAGUAUGGCAGAGGGGGGUGGAAUUCCGCGUGUAGCAGUGAAAUGCGUAGAGAUGCGGAGGAACGCCGAUGGCGAAGGCAGCCCCCUGGGCUGACACUGACGCUCAGGCACGAAAGCGUGGGGAGCAAACAGG